AUGGUGGAGGAUACCAACACAUCGGAGGCAGUCGGCCAGGGGGGCCAACAGUGCCCCGCCAGUAGCAAUGAAUAUAUUAAGUUGGAACUACGCGGAGAGGGGGGUGGGAACCCCCAAAUAGUUUGUGAUCUCGUGAGUCUUGUACAGGCUCAUUCUCCUAACAUUGUUUUUCUUUGUGAAACUAGACAGUCAGAAAAGUAAAUGAGUAGGAAUCAUGCUCGUUUAGGCUUAAAGGGUUUUGAUGCCUCAGAUAGUGUUGGUCUUAGUGGAAGUCUUGCUUUGUGUUGGCAUGAAUCUUUGUGUUUGGAUGUAAAAACAAUAAAUGAGAGAUAUAUUGAUGCGUAA
This 345-nucleotide ribosomal RNA is filed under the name Triticum aestivum (bread wheat). Its description in RNAcentral is "partial small subunit ribosomal RNA". Lineage: Eukaryota; Viridiplantae; Streptophyta; Magnoliopsida; Poales; Poaceae. The record is from RNAcentral.